RNA transcript from Arabidopsis thaliana (thale cress), 714 nucleotides. RefSeq lists it as uncharacterized. The record is from RefSeq. NCBI's taxonomy places the organism in Eukaryota, Viridiplantae, Streptophyta, Magnoliopsida, Brassicales, Brassicaceae. The transcript is spliced from 2 exons.
GAAAAAGAUAAAAUUGUUCUUUCUCAUAUUAAUCACCCACAAGUCUGAAACUGCUUCUUCACUCUCAAGGCAAAGGAUCAAAACUAAGAGACCAAAAGAUAUUGUGUACUAUUUUAACAGCGAUCGAAAACGACCCUAAGCUUGAGAAGAAUCUCGGAGGUGUUUCAUGAUCACUUGGGUACUAACUUCUCAUCAUCAUCAUCAUUAAGAUCAUCAGAUCGUCUCAGCAUGUGGGCACUAUUCCGCGCUUUAGCAUGAAGUGUGAAUAUCCAAUAUAUGCAAAGAUCACAGCGUUAUGUGUGUUCCAUGUUGGAAGUUUUCAAGCUUUUGAGUAUCCGGCUCCAUUGAUGACUAGUGUUGUUUCAUGGACUUCAUGCUAAUUCAUUGUUCACAGGAGUAACACGAGCCAUCGAUGGAGCUAGACACACUUCAAAAGCUUCAAAUGGCUUGCAACAAUGAACACAAAUAAUCAUGUGGUCUUUAAUUUGCAUCUAUUAUUUAUACAUUAUGCUACAAGAACGGCAUAAUGACCAUAAGCUGCGACCAUCUGAGGAUGAUAAUGAUGAUGAAUUAGUACCCAAGAAAUAAGGAAACAACACCUCCGAGGCUCUCUUCUCAGAAGAAUAAUUUUUAUAUUUGCCAGUUAUGUUUUUCCUUCAGUCAAAAUACAAAAGCUCAGUUUGAAAAUAAUAAUAAUAACAAAAUAUCAGUUUG